RNAcentral lists this unclassified non-coding RNA (328 nucleotides) under uncultured fungus. Its description in RNAcentral is "sequence contains ITS2". The record is from RNAcentral. RNAcentral also lists the same sequence under 1 other name. Lineage: Eukaryota; Fungi.
AACGCACCUUGCGCUCCUUGGUAUUCCUUGGAGCAUGCCUGUUUGAGUAUCAUGAAAUUCUCAAAGUAAACCUUUUGUUAAUUCAACUGGUCUUUGCUUUGGAUUUGGAGGCCUUUGCAGAUGUCACAGUCUGCUCCUCUUAAAUAAAUUAGCUGGAUCUCAGUAUACACUUGGUUCCACUCGGCGUGAUAAGUAUCACUCGCUGAGGACACUGUUAAAAAGGUGGCCAGGCAAUGCAGAUGAACCGCUUCUAAUAGUCCAUUGACUUGGACAAAUUAAAAAUUUAUGAUCUGAUCUCAAAUCAGGUAGGACUACCCGCUGAACUUAA